GGCUACAGAACGAACGCUGGCGGCAGGCUUAACACAUGCAAGUCGAACGGGCGUAGUAAUACGUCAGUGGCAGACGGGUGAGUAACACGUGGGAACCUUCCUAGGGGUACGGAACAACUCAGGGAAACUUGAGCUAAUACCGUAUACGUCCGUGAGGAGAAAGAUUCAUCGCCCUUAGACGGGCCCGCGUCGGAUUAGCUAGUUGGUGGGGUAACGGCCUACCAAGGCGACGAUCCGUAGCUGAUCUGAGAGGAUGAUCAGCCACACUGGGACUGAGACACGGCCCAGACUCCUACGGGAGGCAGCAGUGGGGAAUCUUGGACAAUGGGCGCAAGCCUGAUCCAGCCAUGCCGCGUGAGUGAAGAAGGCCUUCGGGUUGUAAAGCUCUUUUGUCAGGGACGAUAAUGACGGUACCUGAAGAAUAAGCCCCGGCAAACUUCGUG
Molecule: ribosomal RNA, 443 nt
Filed under: uncultured bacterium
Lineage: Bacteria
Description: bacterial SSU rRNA
Rfam family: Bacterial small subunit ribosomal RNA
Source: RNAcentral